GACGAACGCUGGCGGCGUGCCUAAUACAUGCAAGUAGAACGCUGAAGCGAGGAGCUUGCUCUUCUUGGAUGAGUUGCGAACGGGUGAGUAACGCGUAGGUAACCUGCCUUGUAGCGGGGGAUAACUAUUGGAAACGAUAGCUAAUACCGCAUAACAAUGGAUGACACAUGUCAUUUAUUUGAAAGGGGCAAUUGCUCCACUACAAGAUGGACCUGCGUUGUAUUAGCUAGUAGGUGAGGUAAUGGCUCACCUAGGCGACGAUACAUAGCCGACCGGAGAGGGUGAUCGGCCACACUGGGACGGAGACACGGCCCAGACGGCUACGGGAGGCAGCAGUAGGGAAUCGUCGGCAAUGGGGGCAACCCUGACCGAGAAACGCCGCGGGAGGGAAGAAGGGUUUCGGAUCGGAAAGCUCGGUUGUAAGGCACGAACGGGUGUGAGAGUGGAAAGUUCACACUGUGACGGUAGCGUACCAGAAAGGGACGGCUAACUACGUG
Molecule: ribosomal RNA, 497 nt
Filed under: uncultured bacterium
Lineage: Bacteria
Description: partial 16S ribosomal RNA
Rfam family: Bacterial small subunit ribosomal RNA
Source: RNAcentral